RNAcentral lists this unclassified non-coding RNA (235 nucleotides) under Hevea brasiliensis (rubber tree). The record is from RNAcentral. Lineage: Eukaryota; Viridiplantae; Streptophyta; Magnoliopsida; Malpighiales; Euphorbiaceae.
GUUUAUCAUAGGAACUUUUUUGAUAUUCUUUCUAAGCAAUAAGGAUCCUUUGAACUAUUUCUGUCCUGGACCCCAUAAUUGUGACUCUAAGGAAAUCAGCAACCUGAGUUGCUUCAGGUUGCUGUUAAAUUUAUGUGUUUCUGAUUGUCGACUCUCCAUUGUGAAUAAUUAAACUUGUAAAUAAGCUCUUGAUUGUUGUGAAGUGCCACUUUAGGAAAAUAGUCAACUAGUUUUU